This 71-nucleotide transfer RNA is filed under the name Loxodonta africana (African savanna elephant). It matches the Rfam family "tRNA". Rfam says of the family: Transfer RNA (tRNA) molecules are approximately 80 nucleotides in length. The record is from Rfam by way of RNAcentral. Lineage: Eukaryota; Metazoa; Chordata; Mammalia; Proboscidea; Elephantidae.
GCAAUGGUGGUUCAGUGGCAGAAUUCUUGCCUUCCAUGUGGGUGACCUAAGUUUGAUUCCUGGCCAAUGCA